GUCUAUGGCCACACCACCCUGAAAGCACCCGAUCUCAUCUGAUCUCAGAAGCUAAGCAAGGUCGGGCCUGGAUGGGAGAAAUUUAUAAAUGCUUUUUACUACCAUAUAUU
Ribosomal RNA from Fukomys damarensis (Damara mole-rat), 110 nucleotides. NCBI's taxonomy places the organism in Eukaryota, Metazoa, Chordata, Mammalia, Rodentia, Bathyergidae. The record is from Ensembl.